Molecule: small nuclear RNA, 107 nt
Filed under: Mus spicilegus (steppe mouse)
Lineage: Eukaryota; Metazoa; Chordata; Mammalia; Rodentia; Muridae
Source: RNAcentral
GUGCUCACUUCGGCAGCACAUACACUAAAAUUGGAAUGAUACAGAGAAAAUUAGCAUGGCCCCUGCUCAAAGAUGACACACAAAUUCGUGAAGCAUUCUGUAUUUUU